ACACAUGCAAGUCGAGCGGAGUGAUAGUGCUUGCACUAUCACUUAGCGGCGGACGGGUGAGUAAUGCUUAGGAAUCUGCCUAUUAGUGGGGGACAACAUUUCGAAAGGAAUGCUAAUACCGCAUACGUCCUACGGGAGAAAGCAGGGGAUCUUCGGACCUUGCGCUAAUAGAUGAGCCUAAGUCGGAUUAGCUAGUUGGUGGGGUAAAGGCCUACCAAGGCGACGAUCUGUAGCGGGUCUGAGAGGAUGAUCCGCCACACUGGGACUGAGACACGGCCCAGACUCCUACGGGAGGCAGCAGUGGGGAAUAUUGGACAAUGGGCGCAAGCCUGAUCCAGCCAUGCCGCGUGUGUGAAGAAGGCCUUAUGGUUGUAAAGCACUUUAAGCGAGGAGGAGGCUACUUUAGUUAAUACCUAGAGAUAGUGGACGUUACUCGCAGAAUAAGCACCGGCUAACUCUGUGCCAGCAGCCGCGGUAAUACAGAGGGUGCAAGCGUUAAUCGGAUUUACUGGGCGUAAAGCGCGCGUAGGCGGCUAAUUAAGUCAAAUGUGAAAUCCCCGAGCUUAACUUGGGAAUUGCAUUCGAUACUGGUUAGCUAGAGUGUGGGAGAGGAUGGUAGAAUUCCAGGUGUAGCGGUGAAAUGCGUAGAGAUCUGGAGGAAUACCGAUGGCGAAGGCAGCCAUCUGGCCUAACACUGACGCUGAGGUGCGAAAGCAUGGGGAGCAAACAGGAUUAGAUACCCUGGUAGUCCAUGCCGUAAACGAUGUCUACUAGCCGUUGGGGCCUUUGAGGCUUUAGUGGCGCAGCUAACGCGAUAAGUAGACCGCCUGGGGAGUACGGUCGC
Molecule: ribosomal RNA, 844 nt
Filed under: Acinetobacter sp.
Lineage: Bacteria; Pseudomonadati; Pseudomonadota; Gammaproteobacteria; Moraxellales; Moraxellaceae
Description: bacterial SSU rRNA
Rfam family: Bacterial small subunit ribosomal RNA
Source: RNAcentral